This is a long non-coding RNA of Ictalurus punctatus (channel catfish), 680 nucleotides long. The record is from Ensembl. Lineage: Eukaryota; Metazoa; Chordata; Actinopteri; Siluriformes; Ictaluridae.
CAUCCUCUGUUUCUUCCAAAGGUUGUCCUUUAUGAUGUGGAAUUGUGCCUGUGACAGCAAAGUCACAGUGUAAAGCCGGUGCAAAAUCCUGUAAAUUCAGGGGGGAUGUUUGUAUCCUACUACAUCUCCUGAGUUGUGUGAAAUGGCUAAAAGAACAAAAAUGACGAGUAUCGUUCUUUCUAGACCGAAUGGACAGACGAAUCUGCAUAUUUGGAAGUUGCAUUUAUGGGUUUUGAAGUCCGGUUUGAGCUGUGGUUUGCAGUGAUGAAAAGGAGUUCAUGGUAAUUGUUAUCCAAUGAAGUCCAGCACCAUACAAGUGCUGUACAAUCACCUCAACUCUGCAAGUCAUCACAUUGUCACAUUGAUUUAUAAACAAAGGUUGGGCAGUACUGUUAACAUGGGCACUCAUGCUUAUAUCAACACAACGAAAUAUGCCAUCACUCAUAUUUAUAAUUCACACAUGACAUCAUUAGAAAUGAAAUUCACACAUGUGCAUAAAAAAAAACAAAAAACAAAAAACAAGCAAACAGAGUUUGUUUCAUUUUGAACAUUUCUUCAUUGAAUGGCCAAAGAAGACGUGUGCUCUUGGACAGACAUCCGUGUGGAGGGUUAGGAAACUGUGGACCACUGGAACAUGAACAGGGACUAACUCUGUCCAAGUCUGCAUACACUUAUGGAAG